AGUCUGGUGCCAGCAGCCGCGGUAAUUCCAGCUCUAAUAGCGUAUAUUAAAGUUGUUGCAGUUAAAAAGCUCGUAGUUGGAUUUCGGCGUGCGCUCAGGCUGGUCGGCCGUCAAGGUCUGUACCGUUUGGGUCACGCCCCACUGUAGGAUACUCACCGCUGUCCUUAACUGGGUGGCGGUCAAAGGGGGUGUGCAUGGGGGCAACUCUGUGCAUAUCUCUGGGGUUCCUACUCUUUUACUUUGAGCAAAUUAGAGUGUUCAAAGCAGGCAAUCGAGCCUUGAAUACUUCAGCAUGGGAUAAUGGAACAGGACUGGGGUCCUGAUUUCGUUGGUUUCUGGGAUCUCAGUAAUGAUUAAUAGGGAUAGUUGGGGGCAUUAGUAUUUAAUUGUCAGAGGUGAAAUUCUUGGAUUUAUGAAAGACUAACUUCUGCGAAAGCAUUUGCCAAGGAUGUUUUCAUUAAUCAAGAACGAAAGUUAGGGGAUCGAAGACGAUCAGAUACCGUCGUAGUCUUAACCAUAAACGAUGCCGACCAGCCAUUGGGAGACGUUACAUGGAUGACUCCCCCAGCAGCUUGCGAGAAAUCACAAGUCUUUGGGUUCCGGGGGGAGUAUGGUCGCAAGGCUGAAACUUAAAGGAAUUGACGGAAGGGCACCACCAGGAGUGGAGCCUGCGGCUUAAUUUGACGCAACACGGGGAAACUUACCAGGUCCAGACAUAGUAAGGAUUGACAGAUUUGAGAGCUCUUUCUUGACCGUAUGGGUGGUGGUGCAUGGCCGUUCUUAGUUGGUGGAGUGAUUUGUCUGGUUAAUUCCGUUAACGAACGAGACCUUAACCUACUAAAUAUGUCACUGGUAGACUUCUGCCAAAACAGGUGGGUGUCUAGGGGAAAGUUUCGAUGGACUCCGACGCAUUCAUCUGUGGAUGACUACCAGGAUGUACUUCUUAGAGGGACUAUCUGUAUCAAAGCAGAUGGAAGUUUGAGGCAAUAACAGGUCUGUGAUGCCCUUAGAUGUUCUGGGCCGCACGCGCGCUACACUGACAAGUUCAACGAGUUUAACACCUUGCUCGAUAGGGCUGGGUAAUCUUUGAAAAACUUGUCGUGAUGGGGAUAGAUCAUUGUAAUUAUUGGUCUUCAACGAGGAAUUCCUAGUAAGCGUGAGUCAUCAGCUCGCGUUGAUUACGUCCCUGCCCUUUGUACACACCGCCCGUCGCUCCUACCGAUUGAAUGAUCCGGUGAAAUGUUGGGAGCUGGGGUCUUUUGGCGGCGGGGCAACUCGUCGUCAGGGAUUCUGCAAACUUCAUUAAACCUUAUCAUUUAGA
RNAcentral lists this ribosomal RNA (1321 nucleotides) under metagenome. RNAcentral's name for it is "SSU rRNA". It matches the Rfam family "Eukaryotic small subunit ribosomal RNA", at positions 558 to 1777 of the family's 1831-position model. The record is from RNAcentral.